UACGUAUGGGGCAAGCGUUAUCCGGAUUUACUGGGUGUAAAGGGAGCGUAGGCGGCAGGGCAAGCCUGAUGUGAAAGCCCGGGGCUCAACUCCGGGACUGCUUUUGAAACUGUGUGACUGGAGUGCAGGAGAGGUAAGCGGAAUUCCUAGUGUAGCGGUGAAAUGCGUAGAUAUUAGGAGGAACACCAGUGGCGAAGGCGGCUUACUGGACUGUAACUGACGUUGAGGCUCGAAAGCGUGGGGAGCAAACAGG
This 253-nucleotide ribosomal RNA is filed under the name uncultured Lachnospiraceae bacterium. RNAcentral describes it as "partial 16S ribosomal RNA". It matches the Rfam family "Bacterial small subunit ribosomal RNA", at positions 524 to 776 of the family's 1533-position model. Lineage: Bacteria; Bacillati; Bacillota; Clostridia; Lachnospirales; Lachnospiraceae. The record is from RNAcentral.